Molecule: small nucleolar RNA, 132 nt
Organism: Bufo gargarizans (Asiatic toad)
Lineage: Eukaryota; Metazoa; Chordata; Amphibia; Anura; Bufonidae
Product: small nucleolar RNA SNORA27
Exons: 1
Source: RefSeq, a predicted model, not a curated record
CAGAGCCCUUUCACUUUACCAGUUGGAUUGGUACAUAUCUGGAUUGGUCAUUCAAAAGGGCUACAGAAAACAUCUUCUUAAAACCCAAGCAAACUGACCUGUGUUGCUUGUGUCCUGUCAGAAGAGACAGCU